CGCCGCUCCAGGGGAGCUGUGGCCGGUGGGGCAGAGCGCGGCGCGGGCCUCGGGACCGCUCCACAUGGGGGACGUGCACGAGGGGCCGCGGCCCCGCAUCGCCACCAGCCACUUAGCGCAGCACCUCGGGCAGCCGGUUUGCUUCGUGGGCCGAGGGGAGGAGGUAGCGGGACCCCCUGCCCCCGCCGCUAGCCGCUCCCUCACACAGCCCCCUCUUUUGUAUUCCAGUCUCUGGCUCCCAAUCAGCACCUAGUCCAGUAAAGUGAGAAGUUACUUAAAACUCCAGUCGCUAAACACAAUGUUCUUCUCUGACCCCUAAGGGGCCAGCCACGUGACCAGAUCGCUACUUGUCCGGAUCAAAAUACCGCACCGCCAGCCAGUCCUUUAGUUUCUAAAAUCAAAGAUUUAUUGAAAAAGAAAAGAAAACGAGAGGAGAGGUGUUAUAUUGGCAAAGCAAUCAGAUACAUACAUAUGACUUCUGACAUGAACUCUGGUUGUUCGCAGCACUGGUGAGUUUGCUGUCUUGUAAAGUCUGUCUGGAACACGUGGAAAGCUUAGAUGGGUCUAUCAGUCCUUUGUUCAGAGCUUGAAUUUGGAAAGAAGUUUCUCCAGAGGAAAGAAGCAGGACUGAAGAUGAAAUGGAGGUCAAAAUGAAAAGACAAAAACCAACAGUUUUUCCACUCAAAGGCCUCAAAAGACAACCAAGAUGAAGAACAUACCAAGAACUAAGAAUAUGCCAACAUGUUAUCUGAAGGUUCUAGUGGUGUAUCUACAUCUGAACAGCCCGAAGCACGAAUACAGCUAUCUACUAAAGAAACAGUGUCUCCACAAUCUAAAGGCAGUUCUUGAUGUUUGUCAGUCAAACUUUUCCCAUUUAUUGAAGUUACAAAAGAUGGUUACUGGGUGUACCUCUUGCAAAAAAGAAGGAAAGCUUCCCACUGUUACAGUUGGUAAAACUGGAGGAGCUUGGUUUGCCAAACUGAUCAGCAAAGCCAAUGCUGACAAACUAUGUGAAAAGGCUGCAAAACACCAAGCCUCUGGAGUGCACUGACAUGCAGGAAGCCUUAUAAACAACAUGGCUGUCGUAUCAUACUUUCUAUUUAACCAAAAGAUACCACACACUACAAACUGGAGGCUAAUAUUAAGUUCAUUGUCACUUGUUAGCCCUGAAGUUGGACACUGGUUCCAAACAAGACUAGCAAAUGCUCGCUAUCUUUCUGCAAGAAACUCAACUGACUGGUUAGAAGCAUGUGAUGCAACAAUGAAAGACUCAGCAGUUGAAAAAGUGAAGCACUCUCUCACCACAUUCAGAAAAUGUACAUCCCUGGCUGAUGAAUGCACCAAUGCAAAUGGGCGUCAAGCAUUAAAUCAUUGCGUAUGUUAUCUUGAUGACAGUGGUAGGCCAGUAGAUACGUUUCUAGAUGUUCAGGUUAUAGAAGACACAUUGGCUGCAUCUGUGACAACCCACAUCUUAGAAGAAUUAAAUGCUUGUAAAUUGGACCCCAAACAGAUGACAUACAUUUGAUGGAGCUGCAAACUUAUCUGGAAGACAUGGAGAAUAAGCUUUGCUCAGAGAAAAGUGUAACGCUAAUCUCUCCUAUACACACUGCAAAGGACAUCUACUCCAACUCGCACUAGUACGAGCUGCAGAAUCUUCAAAAGACAUUUAAAAAGCCAUACAUUUAGUGUCUUUGCUACAGACUUUUUUCAAGAAGAGUCCAAAAAGACUGAACAUCAUGGAAAAAAUAGAUGAUGCUCUGGAACUGAAGUUUAAAUUAAUCCAAUCUGCGAAAAACCCCUGGCUUUCUCAUGAGCAAUCCUUGACUGUUGUCUUAAAAUUACUGCAACCAUUAUUGCUGGCUUUGGAAAGCAUCUACCAAGAUGGAAUGGAUCUAAGUAGUAAGGUUGGUGGACUAUUUUUACUACUACGUUCAGAGAAGACAAUCACCAUUCUCUCUCUUGUAAGUCUACUGUUGAAACCACGUGGUCAUUAAACAAUGUCAUCCAGGCAUCCGCUAUACAGUAGUAGAUCUUUGUCCAGCAAUACAAGCUACACUUGAAUCAAUCAGAGAGAUAUCAAUUAAAAAUGUACUCGAAUAUGCAAAGACUUCAGUCCAAAAGUUGACCAAUGAAGGCACUUACAUUGAAUCCUUAAGUGAAGAUGACAAAGAAAUGUUUGUUAAGCCAGCUGAAAAAGUACACAGACUUAAUUCUUACAAAUCUACAACAGCAACUUCUGGAUUCUACUCAGUCUCUGUGUAGCAUUUACAGAUGCCUAUCUUAUAAAACAUGGACAGCUGAGUGGAGUGAGGCACUACCAGCAAUGGGGCUGCGAUGUGAUCAGAACAGAAUAGAGAAUUUGAACCCACAGUGGAAUGUCAUACGACUAAUGAAUGAAGAUUUGAUUUCAACUUUUUCUUUUUUAAUAUCACUAGUGGCUCACCCUGAUCUUUCUGCCCUCCCAGUUUAACAGUACUGGGCUGUCACAUUCCAAGAAAGAGGACGCCCAGUCUAAUGCUUCCCUUGACUGCAAGCGGAUAACCAGGCUCACUUUUGUGUGAACAGUAGCAUAGAACUGAGGGUGCAUCAUGAACAGGAGGUGGCACUAUAAAAUCCUGGAAUCACUAAUGAUUUACCAUCACACCAUUCUGGCAGUGGUAUCGGGGAACAGGGUUGUGCAAGCCAUGUCUUAAAUGCCGUAUUUUUUAGCCUGCAACUGCAUGACUUGCUCCUGCAAUAGCUGGUUCUCCAAGGUCAGCUGGACAAUAUGGGCCUGUGACCGGUUCGGGACUGUCACCUGACGUGUUGGAAUUACCUCUGAGCCCAUUUUCCACUGCCAACUUAGGACUCCAGAACCCUGCCUUGUUGACCCAGACAUACUAGUCUGCUGCAACACAGUCCCAGGUCUGGUCCACACCCCCAAAGCUGCAGACUUUAACCAAAAACUGCUCAGCAAGUCACUUAUCUCCAGCAUCCAGACACCCAGUUCCCAGUGGGAUCCAAACACCAAAUAAAUCCAUUUUACUCGGUAUAAAGCUUAUACAGGGUAAAAUCAUAAAUUGUCCGCCCUCUAUAGCACUGAUAGAGAGAUAUGCACUGCUGUUUGUUCCCACAGGUGUUAAUCACUUACUCUGGGUUAAUUAAUAAACAAAAGUGAUUUUAUUAAGUAUAAAAAGUAGGAUUUAAGUGGUUUCAAGUAAUAACAGACAGAACAAAGUAAGUUACCAAGCAAAAUAAAACAAAACAAGCAAGUCUAAGCCUAAUAUAAUUAAGAAACUGAAUACUGGAAAAUCUCACCCUCAGAGAUGUUCCAAUAAUCUUCUUUCACAGACUAGACUCCUUCCUAGUCUGGGCCCAAUCCUUUCCCCGGUACAGUUCUCGUUAGUUCCAGCUCAGGUGGUAACUAGGGGAUUUCUCGUGACUGGCAGCCCCUUUGUUCUGUCUGCCCCUCCCUCCCGCCCUUUUAUGGCUUCGGCACAAGGAGGAAAUCUUUUGUCUCUCUGGGUCCCCACCCCUCCUUCUAAAUGGAAAAGCACCAGGUUUAAGAUGGAUUCCAGUACCAGGUGACAUGGUCAGAUGUCCUGUGAGACCCCAAGCCUCCAUUCUUUCCAGCCUGACUCACAUAAACACAGGAAGGCUUACAAGUAAACAGAGCCAUUUACAACCAAUUGGCCUGGUUAAUGGGAGCCAUCAAGAUUCUAAACCACCAUUAAUGGCCGACACUUUGCAUAGUUGUAAUAGGACUUCAGAGUAAUACUUCAUAUUUCUAGCUUCAUAUACAAGAAUGAUACAUUCAUAAAGAUAGGAUGAACACACUCAGUAGAUUUCAGAGUAGCAGCCGUGUUAGUCUGUAUCCACAAAAAGAACAGGAGUACUUGUGGCACCUUAGAGACUAACAAAUUUAUUAGAGCAUAAGCUUUCGUGGAUUACUGAGUGGCCAGAGAGGUUGAAGUGUUCUCCUACCCGUUUUUGAAUGUUAUGAUUCCUGAUGUCAGAUUUCUGUCCAUUUAUUCUUUUGCAUAGAGACUGUCCGGUUUGGCCAAUGUACAUGGCAGACGGGCAUUGCUGGCACAUGAUGGCAUAUAUCACAUUGGUAGAUGUGCAGGUGAACGAGCCCCUGAUGGCAUGGCUAAUGUGAUUAGGUCCUAUGAUGGUGUCACUUGAAUAAAUAUGUGGACAGAGUUGGCAUCAGGCUUUGUUGCAAGGAUAGGUUCCUGGGUUAGUGUUUUUGUUGUGUGGUGUGUGGUUGCUGGAGAGUAUUUGCUUCAAGUUGGGGGGCUGUCUGUAAGUGAGGACUGGUCUGUCUCCCAAGAUCUCUGAGAGUGAGGGAUCAUUUUUCAGGAUAGGUUGUAAAUCUUUGAUGAUGCGUUACUGAGUGGCCAGAGAUGUUGAAGUGUUCUCCUACUGGUUUUUGAAUGUUAUGAUUCCUGAUGUCAGUAGAUUGUAAGCUUUGUAAUAAGAAAAGGAGUACUUGUGGCACCUUAGAGACUAACCAGUUUAUUUGAGCAUAAGCUUUCCUGAGUUACAGCUCACUUCAUCAGAUGCAUCGGAUGCAGUGAGAUGAAACUUUAAAUCAGCCUGCUGUAAUGGACUGAGCUCUCAAAUUAAUUUUCAGACUAUUUAUUUUGUGCAUCUGAAUAAAAAAAACAAAGUUUUG
This is a long non-coding RNA of Caretta caretta (loggerhead turtle), 4657 nucleotides long. RefSeq lists it as uncharacterized. Lineage: Eukaryota; Metazoa; Chordata; Testudines; Cheloniidae. The record is from RefSeq and is a predicted model, not a curated record.